AGUGAACGCCGGCCGUAGGCCUAACACAUGCAAGUCGAACGGCAGCACAGUAAGAGCUUGCUCUUACGGGUGGCGAGUGGAGGACGGGUGAGGAAUACAUCGGAAUCUACUUUUUCGAGGGGGAUAACGUAGGGAAACUUACGCUAAUACCGCAUACGAACUACGGGUGAAAGCAGGGGAUCUUCGGACCUUGCGCGAUUGAAUGAGCCGAUGUCGGAUUAGCUAGUUGGCGGGGUAAAGGCCCACCAAGGCGACGAUCCGUAGCUGGUCUGAGAGGAUGAGCAGCCACACUGGAACUGAGACACGGUCCAGACUCCGACGGGAGGCAGCAGUGGGGAAUAUUGGACAAUGGGCGCAAGCCUGAUCCAGCCAUACCGCGUGGGUGAAGAAGGCCUUCGGGUUGUAAAGCCCUUUUGUUGGGAAAGAAAAGCAGCAGGUUAAUACCCCGCUGUUCUGACGGUACCCAAAGAAUAAGCACGGGCUAGCUUCGUG
This 492-nucleotide ribosomal RNA is filed under the name uncultured bacterium. RNAcentral describes it as "partial 16S ribosomal RNA". It matches the Rfam family "Bacterial small subunit ribosomal RNA", at positions 29 to 507 of the family's 1533-position model. The record is from RNAcentral.